GACGAACGCUGGCGGCGUGCUUAACACAUGCAAGUCGAACGGAAAGGCCCUGCUUUUGUGGGGUGCUCGAGUGUCGAACGGGUGAGUAACACGUGAGUAACCUGCCCUUGACUUUGGGAUAACUUCAGGAAACUGGGGGUAAUACCGGAUAGGAGCUCCUGCUGCAUGGUGGGGGUUGGAAAGUUUCGGCGGUUGGGGAUGGACUCGCGGCUUAUCAGCUUGUUGGUGGGGUAGUGGCUUACCAAGGCUUUGACGGGUAGCCGGCCUGAGAGGGUGACCGGACACAUUGGGACUGAGAUACGGCCCAGACUCCUACGGGAGGCAGCAGUGGGGAAUAUUGCACAAUGGGAGGAAGCAUGAUGCAGCAACGCCGCGUGCGGGAUGACGGCCUUCGGGUUGUAAACCGCUUUCGCCUGUGACGAAGCGUGAGUGACGGUAAUGGGUAAAGAAGCACCGGCUAACUACGUG
This 468-nucleotide ribosomal RNA is filed under the name uncultured bacterium. Its description in RNAcentral is "partial 16S ribosomal RNA". It matches the Rfam family "Bacterial small subunit ribosomal RNA", at positions 28 to 507 of the family's 1533-position model. The record is from RNAcentral.